Molecule: long non-coding RNA, 453 nt
Organism: Asparagus officinalis (garden asparagus)
Lineage: Eukaryota; Viridiplantae; Streptophyta; Magnoliopsida; Asparagales; Asparagaceae
Exons: 2
Source: RefSeq, a predicted model, not a curated record
CGCUGCCAGAGAGCUACAACGCAAGGGCCACAGCAUCAUCGUCUUCGAGCGCGGCACCGGGGUCGGAGGAACCUGGAUCUACAGCCCCGAAACCGAAUCUGACCUGCUAUGUUUGGAUCCGACCUAAUUGAACUUGGUUCUCUUCAAGAUACGGUGCCAACAGAUAAAAUUGUAGUUUUGUAAGGUGGUUGGAACUUUGAUCAGGUCCUGGAGCUCACUGGAAACGCAGCAAGAGACAACAAGAGAUAACAAGAAGACAACAAGAAAACACAGCAAAAACGCCCCUACUGACGAUGAGUAGAUGGGGACUUUAAAUUGGGUUUUAAACUAAGCAUUUUGAGAAGAGAGAUUCUUUUUGUAAAAGAAGGAAAUUUAGUUGAUUCCUAUGUUUGAUGUUGUGAGAUUGGUUCUUCUCUUUGUUUAGUAUCAAUACAAGGUCAUGUUUAGUAUCAA